This 100-nucleotide microRNA precursor is filed under the name Selaginella moellendorffii. Its description in RNAcentral is "miR1082b stem-loop (smo-MIR1082b)". The record is from miRBase by way of RNAcentral. Lineage: Eukaryota; Viridiplantae; Streptophyta; Lycopodiopsida; Selaginellales; Selaginellaceae.
UUUGAGGCAGGUGUUGGCCUGCUGGCCGGCGACGAGCUCUAGUGCCCGCGCAACGCUUCGCCGUCCAGCAGGCCAAUACCUCACUCGAGAUCUUGUUUCU